This 262-nucleotide unclassified non-coding RNA is filed under the name Hevea brasiliensis (rubber tree). Lineage: Eukaryota; Viridiplantae; Streptophyta; Magnoliopsida; Malpighiales; Euphorbiaceae. The record is from RNAcentral.
AGCCCUUUGAGUUAUUUCUUUCUCUUCCCUUCUCUUUCUUUCUUCUACUUCCAAUUCUUAAAUAUUAACAAGACCUAAUAUUCAUCCCAAAGAUUUCACAGUAAUAUGCUUAAUAAAGCUUGGACUAGUAGCGAUUGGCAAGGCUGGAACAGUGGGACAUUAUGCCUGAUCCUUAAUAAUAGAAACAGAAAUAAUAAAAAGAAAUUAAGAGGCUAGGGUUUGAUGCUUUUAAACCUAAUAAUAUAAAUAUGCUUACGAAGUU